Molecule: ribosomal RNA, 516 nt
Filed under: uncultured Glomus
Lineage: Eukaryota; Fungi; Glomeromycota; Glomeromycetes; Glomerales; Glomeraceae
Description: SSU rRNA
Rfam family: Eukaryotic small subunit ribosomal RNA
Source: RNAcentral
AGCAGCCGCGGUAAUUCCAGCUCCAAUAGCGUAUAUUAAAGUUGUUGCAGUUAAAAAGCUCGUAGUUGAAUUUCGAGAUCAGUACGCUGGUCGUGCCUUCGGUAUGCACUGGUGUCACUGGUUUCUCCCUUCUGAAGAACCGUCAUGUCAUUAAGUUGGUGUGGCGGGGAAUCAGGACUGUUACUUUGAAAAAAAUUAGAGUGUUUAAAGCAGGCUCGCGCUUGAAUACAUUAGCAUGGAGUAAUGAAAUAGGACGUUUGACCCUAUUUUGUUGGUUUCUAGGAUCGACGUAAUGAUUAAUAGGGAUAGUUGGGGGCAUUAGUAUUCAAUUGUCAGGGGUGAAAUUCUUGGAUUUAUUGAAGACUAACUACUGCGAAAGCAUUUGCCAAGGAUGUUUUCUAUUAAUCAAGAACGAAAGUUAGGGGAUCGAAGACGAUCAGAUACCGUCGUAGUCUUAACCAUAAACUAUGCCGACUAGGGAUCGGAUGAUGUUAAUUUUUUAAUGACUCAUUCGGC